AAAGAAGACGCUUUGAAGACAAAAUGAGUGCUCUUCACAAAUGCUAUUAUCUGAUGAGAGAAUUUUUGGGUGCUGUAGGUCUUAGGCCAUCAACACGACCUGGAGGUGAGGAAUGAGACACAGGUGCAGCUAGAGUCGGUAGAGUUGGCGCUGUUGGUGCUACAGGUUCUGGCUCGUCAUCAAAUGCUGUCCUGCUUCCGCUAUUAACAUUCGGUUUAGACAUCUUUGUGUGAAAGUGAAGUUUUGAGAACCCUUUUUUGCUCCCAUGCCUCAAGUGCCUGGCUUCUGUAGAUUGAAGAAAAUGGGGUAAUGUGAUUAGGAGCAAAAGGGCAGUAAGAACCAACUUUCUUUGAGCCAUGAAGAGCAAGCUAAGGAGGAUAAGGGGAUAUGGAGAUAUGGAGAGAAUAUUCAGUUAGUUCUGGUCUUCUGGAUGCUUGUAUUCUCACUCCCUCCUCGAGUAUUUAUACACAAAAAUAAGCAACUUGAGGCUUGCCAAAGCCAGGUCCUAAUUCUCUAAGAUGCAUGCAAUACCUAAAAAAUACAGGUAAUGCAGAUUUUUCUGUACGUGAUAUGUGAUAGGAGGUUACAUACAGACCAAACUCAAGCGUAUGAAUUGAAGAUUCCAGCCCUCAAGUUCCUCGUAUGGUGGGGUGGUUGUGCUAUGCAGGUCAGAAUAAUAAUAAUUAAUAAUAUUUGUGAGCUUAAAUUCUUUAUAGUAUAUAGGAAGAAGUUGUGGGGACUGGGGACAAAUUUAUCAUGGAACCAAACAUUGUUUUCAGGGUAAAUGUUUGUUUUUAUGGCUUGCAUGUACUUGCUAUGCUCAGAUCAUAAUCAAUUCCUUGUUUUCAGUUGAGCGUAGUUACUUUCCAACUGGAGAAUCUAUAAAUUUAUUCUGUGUACUUAGCUGCCUUUUUUUUUUUUUUAAAGUCCGGAGUCACCUUGACAAAAGGUGAACGACUUAAGGGGUUUUGAAAGGCUGGUCAUCUAGUUCCAACCUUGUACUUGAUACCUUUGUGCCACUAGAAUACACACUCCUAUAGCCCUAUUAUUUAUUUAUUUUUAAGUGAGUUUUCUGAACUGAACCU
Ipomoea nil (Japanese morning glory) is the source of this 1085-nucleotide long non-coding RNA. RefSeq lists it as uncharacterized. NCBI's taxonomy places the organism in Eukaryota, Viridiplantae, Streptophyta, Magnoliopsida, Solanales, Convolvulaceae. The transcript has 3 exons. The record is from RefSeq and is a predicted model, not a curated record.